CAGUCGCCGCGGUAAAACGGAGGGAGCUAGCGUUAUUCGGAAUUACUGGGCGUAAAGCGCACGUAGGCGGCUUUGUAAGUAAGAGGUGAAAGCCCGGAGCUCAACUCCGGAACUGCCUUUUAGACUGCAUCGCUUGAAUCCAGGAGAGGUGAGUGGAAUUCCGAGUGUAGAGGUGAAAUUCGUAGAUAUUCGGAAGAACACCAGUGGCGAAGGCGGCUCACUGGACUGGUAUUGACGCUGAGGUGCGAAAGCGUGGGGAGCAAACAGGAUUAGAUACCCGAGUAGUCCCUGUCUCUUAUAC
RNAcentral lists this ribosomal RNA (301 nucleotides) under uncultured bacterium. RNAcentral's name for it is "partial 16S ribosomal RNA". It matches the Rfam family "Bacterial small subunit ribosomal RNA", at positions 509 to 807 of the family's 1533-position model. The record is from RNAcentral.